Raphanus sativus (radish) is the source of this 1330-nucleotide long non-coding RNA. RefSeq lists it as uncharacterized. The transcript is spliced from 5 exons. NCBI's taxonomy places the organism in Eukaryota, Viridiplantae, Streptophyta, Magnoliopsida, Brassicales, Brassicaceae. The record is from RefSeq and is a predicted model, not a curated record.
GUACCUGCAUCGUUUCUUUCAUGCAAUGUUGGGGGGCUAGAUUUUUAUCAGAACUAGGUUCUAGGCUUCUAGUUGUGAUAGCUAUUGUAGGGUAUGCUCCACCUUUUUGGAGUAUUCUUCUAUCCUCUCUUUUCAAUAUUUAGAUUUUCGAGAUGAUUACUGGAUUAGUUGUGGGAGUAUUGCUGUUUUCCUAGGCUGUAUAUAUCUCUGCAAUCUGCCUCUGCAUGGCUUCGAGCUAGACUUGUAGUUCUAUUUCAAUAGUAGUGGCCAAUGGUUGCUAAGGCUCACUUUUGGGCAUCAUCACGUAUUCCUGGAAUGUCAAAUGGACCUGUGGACCGCGGGGCAGGCCCGUUUAAACCUGUGGCGGGACGGGUUUGGGCCUAAGGAUUGUCAUCCCGCAACGUUGCGGGCUUCGCGGGAAAGAGCUUGUGCGGGAUGGACCUUUUGCGGUACGGGCCUAGAUAGACCGCGGGAUACCCAAAAGUCCCGCAUCUUCUUCGCUUCUCAUUUCCUCCGCCACCUGAAAAACAAAAGAGAGAGAGAGAGCGAGAGGAAGGCGACUCGGUGCCACAAGAAACGGAGUUCCGGCCAUGGUUUCUUCAUGCAUGAUGCCUCUGAUCUACCAUUCGCCUUCUAUCUCCUCAGGUGAAACUUCUUGGAGCCAUAGCAAGAAGAUCCAUUUCCGGCCAUGGUUUCUUCAUCGACGGUGGUCCUGGGCUCUCCUGCUUCGAUCAUACACCGGAACUUCUCCUUCACUGCAUGCAUGUUCGUUUUCUUCUCCAUUUCUCCUCUGUGUGUUCACCACUGGAGCUUCAUUGCUUCUUAUAGAUCCAACGCAUGAGCUUGAUAUGUUGUAAGAUCCACCACCUAAUGACUACACCUUGUUUGUCUAUGUGUCGGUUAGGUGAAAAGAAUAGACAAGACAGAGUUGAAACUACAAAGCGAACAAGUAGGUGAAUGAUUGAAGUUAUCCCGCGGGCCGGCCCGUUUGUAACAGGACUUUAGGCGGGACGGGAUUGGGCCGGGGCUUUGGAGUACCGCAGCCCGCGCGGGACUGGACCGCAAUGAACCGCAAAUCGACGAGCCCGCUGCAGUCCGGGACAGGACGGGACGGGACGACCUGUUUGACAUUCCUACAUAUAUAUAUAUAUAUAUAUAUAUAUAUAAAUAUAAUGCUCAUAUUUUAUUACACAUCCAUCAUUUCGUGAAAAAACUAAUUUUUAUACUUUUGUAUUGUUAUAAUACAAUGAAGGCAUAAUGUAGAGGGAUUAAAUGAUACAAUAAAUGUCAUUAUUGAAUAUGAACGUUUCGGUUAUGAUUGAUUUAUGUU